UAACAGCCCCUCCCUUGGUCAUCCCUGGGAACCACAGCACAUGAGUAGUUCGGUGAGGAAGCAAAUCCUUGACCCUGCCCUUGGCUGGGGAGAGGGAGGGACGUCAGUUUCUGUACAGAUGGAAACUAGGAAAAAGUGAGUGUUGUCUUGUGUUCCCAACUCCACCCCCCACCCACUGUCCUGGACAAAAGAGAGAGAUGGAAGAACUUUAGAAAGGGAGACUCCCUGGGUGGGUACAGGAGGCUGUGGUUACCACUAGGUAUGGGAGGGUAGAGAGCUCUAUUUGUGGACUGUUGGGAAGGGCCUCCGUAUCUCCCUUGGUGACUCCUGUUCCGUUACAGUGGUGACAAUUACUAAGAUCGGCUGUGCUUGGCACAGCAGAGGCCCCAGCAUAGAUCACCAACUGGGCAAUGAAGGCAAAGGGGGCUUCCCUGCACUGGGAAGAGGGACUGAGGGUGAGUCCAAUCUUGGAUGCAGCCAAGACCAGCCCUGAGGCUGCUGCAGAGUUAAGGUGGAGGCUGGCAAGGCUUCUCUGCUAGAGAGGAGACUUUGCUUCCAGCCAAGAACCAUGCAGGGCUACCAGUACCCACUCUGGUGAGAUCCAGGAAAGUCAGCCAGAAAAGAUGAGCCUGAGCACCCACUGGCCUAGCAAGGGAAGAGGGGACCCAUGGAGGGAGAGGAGGAGCCCAACCAGGGAGUGAGAACAAGGAGGAGGAGGGAGAUGUUGCUCCCAGGAACUGCAGGCAGGGUUCUUCCCCAUGUGACCUGACAUAUCAGGGAGUCCAUCAUCCAAGGCAUCCGGGGACCUAGGGAGUUAGGGAGGUCAUAUCGCAGGGACAGAACUGUGGGUUGGGACCACAGGAGGACAUUACGCUCCUCUGGCCCAGUGUUGAGGCUCCCAGUCACUACUCAUGACAGACAGUUCGACUGAGCUCCAGAGGAAACAGGAGGAUUUACUCUUCCUAAAUGAGUCAUUGUCAUUCUCCUGGAGGAAGUCCAUCAAUUUACACAGAUUCAGAGGCCCUACUGCCUGGGAGGAAGACCCACUCAGCAUCCAGGAAGAAAUGCAGGAGGCAGGGCCAAGGGUCAGAACACAGGCUUGCUGCAAAGGGACUAAAGUGGGCAGCUGUCGUUACAGAGCAGGACAUGGGCCCUCAAGUUGAGGGUGAAAAUGAGUCUGCCCUGAGGUUGUUUGGUCUGCAGAAGACAGGACACAUAAAGGCCCUCUAUCCCAGGGAACAGGGCCCUCUCAAGGCCAAAACUUCACCCUGAGGGUCCAGAAGAGUAAGACAUACACAGGGCAGAUGGUUAUUCAGGUGAGUAUCUGCAAGGAGUUACCCAGAACUCCUAGGUAAUCUUGGGAACACUGAGAUAAGGCUCAUCUCUGGAAGACAGCAGCCAAGAGCCCCUAGCUGGGUUGUGGCAAUACCAGCCUAAUUAUUCUAAGGGCUUCUAUAAAGACGGAGAUGGAGAGAAUGAGACAGAGAUGGAGGAAAUGAAGGAUCCAGGACCACCAACUUUGGCCACCCAGGAGAGAACAGCCAGCACCAUGGCCUGCUGGCCUUGCCUGAGGUACCAGAAGGAGGGUGGGCAAAGCCAUUGGGAAUGAUAAGCAAUCCCUGCUUCAGGGAUGCAAGACUUCGGAAAUGAAGAGAAAGAGAAUGAGGCAAGGGUCCUCCUCUAAGACCAUACUGAGAAAAAAAUGAAGUUCUUGGACCUUUCCCACAGGGAUCAGGCAGUGUAGGACAGAUCAGAUUUACCAGAAGCAAAGAGCCCUGAGGUUUGUCCUGCCCCAGAUUUUUGGGUGCAUCUGUGGAGGUGGUACAUGAAGCAUCUUAUGUUGGGCAUUAGAAGACGUGUGGUGCUAAUGCUGUUCACUAAAUAUCCCAGCUCUCCAUUGUCUGGGCCAAGGUGGGCUUGUGCCUCCUGGUCCCUUGUGGUUGGGUGGGGUCAGGGGACUAGCGCUGGCCAAAGAGCUAAGAGUGGAUAUGAUGUGUGUAAUUUAUGGACCCAAGCGUUUAAUUGUGUGCAACCCUCAGAGUUCUCUCCCUUUCUUCCGUGGAGGCAGGUCACAUUCAGGAUGCUGGCUAUUCCUUUAGCCUACUUCUUGAAUGAGGAAACGUGGGACAGGACCCCCAGCUGACCCACGAUGGACUUGUGACAUUCAUCGGAGAGAAACUUUGCUGCGUUCUGAGUUACUAAGAUUGGGAUUGUUUCUUAAUGCAGCAUAACCUGGUCUAUCCUGGCACACCCCUGCUGGCUUCCUUCCUCGGACCAGAGGCCCAGCCAGGGACUGUCAUAUGUGAGAGGUCUGUCAGCAAGUGGGAGACGGAGGGCAGAUCAAAGCAGCCCUUAGUCUCCACCUGAGCCAGGGUGGAGUGGACUUCUUCAUGGGAGUGGAUAUAACAGAGCCUUUAGCCAAACCAGACAAAAGGUGCCAGAUGAAGGUUCUGGAUGUGGAUUCCGCUUCUAAUCAGUCCGUGUUAAGGGCAGACGCUCUAAUGUCACCAGAUAUCCUGAGGCUGUUCCACCAACCUCUUGGUGCCUGUACUGGAGCCAGAUUUUUCUGCCUGGUCCAGGGUUUGAAUUUUAACCUAAGAUUAUGGUAUGUUCUGGUAGGUUUUACCCUCGUGGUCAGGGGCAGGAGCUGUUUUAUUUAUUGCUAUAUUCCUCGCCCAUGGCUGGGACCAGCUGGCAUUCAACAAGUGUUUGCUGACCAAGGAAUGAGACCAUGUGACAAAAACUUCACCCCCUCUUCGUAGGAGGCUGCUGAAGAAACCCCAGACGACCCAUGGAAACAGCCACCCUGGGGACCACUGUGCCGCCCUGCUGUCUGGACAUGGGAGGAUCCUGGAGUUUCUCUGACCAGCGCCUCAGUCUUUGCUUGAGGAAUAUGUCGAGACGAGAGCCAAACCCAAGCCUGUCUCCACCAGAGCCUGUGCCCUUUACACAGACAGUAGUUCGCGUAAGUCUGAUCUUUUUAAUGUCUGGUAUUCUCUUGGUCCAUUUCCUUUCAUGUUGCUUUUCUUUUUAAUAAAGUCUAACGUCAAACUCC
Equus quagga is the source of this 3055-nucleotide long non-coding RNA. RefSeq lists it as uncharacterized. Lineage: Eukaryota; Metazoa; Chordata; Mammalia; Perissodactyla; Equidae. The record is from RefSeq and is a predicted model, not a curated record. The transcript has 2 exons.